AACGCACCUUGCGCUCCUUGGUAUUCCGAGGAGCAUGCCUGUUUGAGUGUCAUGUUUUACUCAGUCCCCUCAGAUUUUUCUGACGGUUGGUAACUGGAUAUUGGAAGCUGCUGGACAUAUCUGUUCAGCUCUUCUCAAAUGUAUUAGCGUGAAUAUUUAUCGAGUGUUCUCCAGUGUAAUAAUUAUCUACGCUGCCGAACCUUUGAUGAGAUUAAUGUGUUCAUGCUUCGAAUCGUUUCCAUAGUGGAACAAAAUUACUUGCGUUUGACCUCAAAUCAGGUAGGACUACCCGCUGAACUUAA
Molecule: ribosomal RNA, 302 nt
Filed under: uncultured fungus
Lineage: Eukaryota; Fungi
Description: eukaryotic LSU rRNA
Rfam family: 5.8S ribosomal RNA (bases 1-52)
Source: RNAcentral